GUGUCACCCGCCGCGGUAAUACAGAGGGUGCAAGCGUUAAUCGGAAUUACUGGGCGUAAAGCGCGCGUAGGUGGUUUGUUAAGUUGGAUGUGAAAUCCCCGGGCUCAACCUGGGAACUGCAUUCAAAACUGACUGUCUAGAGUGUGGUAGAGGGUGGUGGAAUUUCCUGUGUAGCGGUGAAAUGCGUAGAUAUAGGAAGGAACCCCAGUGGCGAAGGCGACCACCUGGACCAACACUGACACUGAGGUGCGAAAGCGUGGGGAGCAAACAGGAUUAGAAACCCUAGUAGUCC
Molecule: ribosomal RNA, 292 nt
Filed under: uncultured prokaryote
Description: partial 16S ribosomal RNA
Rfam family: Bacterial small subunit ribosomal RNA
Source: RNAcentral